CGAGUUGGCAGGGCGGCCGCGACCUGAGUGGUCGAGGAAAGUCCGGACUCCGUAGGGCAGGGUGGUUGCUAACGGCAACCCGGGGUGACCCGCGGGACAGUGCCACAGAAAACAGACCGCCUCGCGGCAACGCGGGGUAAGGGUGAAACGGUGGUGUAAGAGACCACCAGCGUCCCGGGCGACCGGGACGGCUCGGUAAACCCCACCCGGAGCAAGGCCAAGAGGGAGCUCAGGCUCCUGCGCAGGCGUUCGAGGGUAGCCCGCCCGAUGCCUGCGGGUAGGCCGCUGGAGCCUGCCGGCAACGGCAGGCCGAGAUGGAUGGCCGCCGCCCGCGUACGCGGGGACAGAAUCCGGCUUACAUGCCAACUCGUCCA
Molecule: RNase P RNA, 374 nt
Filed under: Prauserella cavernicola
Lineage: Bacteria; Bacillati; Actinomycetota; Actinomycetes; Pseudonocardiales; Pseudonocardiaceae
Description: Bacterial RNase P class A
Rfam family: Bacterial RNase P class A
About the family: Ribonuclease P (RNase P) is a ubiquitous endoribonuclease, found in archaea, bacteria and eukarya as well as chloroplasts and mitochondria.
Source: Rfam by way of RNAcentral